Long non-coding RNA from Capsella rubella, 2581 nucleotides. RefSeq lists it as uncharacterized. The record is from RefSeq and is a predicted model, not a curated record. NCBI's taxonomy places the organism in Eukaryota, Viridiplantae, Streptophyta, Magnoliopsida, Brassicales, Brassicaceae. The transcript has 10 exons.
AAUUGUCAUCGACUGGAAAACACACACUCUCUUACACUUUUGUUCAUCUUCUUCCUUCUUCUCUCUAUUCUGAUUCUAAUUCUCUUUAGUUCUCUCUCUCUUUCUCUCAGUCCGUCGUUGAUGUUGGGUCUAGGGUUCAUCAAUUCUCUUUUCAUCAUCGUUUUUAUGAGGUUUUGCGCGUCACGGGUAUAUGAUCCAUCUCUCUGGUUCAAGCUAGGACGACGGUUCUCCUGAUAUCCUUGUAUCUUAUUCUUAAACCAGUGAGCUACUCUACUCUGUAACAAGAAUUUCAACGGGACUUGUGAUUAGGACAUGGCACGAAGACGCACACAACACAAUAGAGUCUCGUCUCGUUGUACGGUUACUCUACUGCUACUUGACGUUCCUCAGCCCUCAGGUGCAUCCCUAUGUAGCUAGCUACUGGGAACAAGAAUUUCAAAGUUUGGUAUCAAGAACCAGAAGCUAUCAUGGUUUCUGGAUGAGGGAGGUCAAAGCACAUCCCCAAGUGUUGAAGCUCUUUGGAACUCAUUGCCAUCAUCAUUACAGAGGUAUUUUUUGUUUAUUCCAGGUGGACAUACUCAGAGAUGAUGCAGUCUUAUGGUGUAUCUACUUGAACAACUUCGGCCUCAAGGCGUUGAGGUUACAGUGGUGUAUCUACGUAGCAGCAGAAUCGUUCAAGGUGUUCUCAGUUGCCAAAUCUGGAUUGAGGAUUGUUGGAUAGCACAUUACAUAAAGACGUUUUAGUUUCGUCUCUUUCGGUGAAAAGCGUGCAGGAGUGAGAUUAUGAUGGAAUCUCUUUUUGCUCUCUCACCAACAACAAAAAUUGUGGAAGCGUCAGGAAUUGCUGGAUUUGCAGGUAAACUGUUCAAAUGUUGAUCCUCAGGUGCAUCUGUAUGUAGCUAGCUAUUGGGAACAAGAACUCAAAGUUUGGUAUCAAGAACUAAAAUCUAUCAUGGUUUCUGGAUGAGGGAGGUCAAGGCACAUCCCAAAGUGUUGAAGCUUGUUCGAACUGAUUGCCAUCACCAUUACAAAGGUAACUUUAGUUGUAGUUAUUUAAGUUGCGUUUUGAUAUACCCUGAUUGGAUUGCUCUUUGUUCAUGUUUGGUGCAUUUAAAUGAUCAUCUUCGGCCUCAAGGCGUUGAGGUGACAGUGGUAAGAGGAGUUUCUGAUAUCAAAACUGUCAAUUAGCAAAUAUUUCAAUUAGCAAGUUUUGUGCGUCACUCCAGGUAUAUGAUUCAUCUCUCUGGUUCCAAGCAAGGACGACGAUUCUUCUGAUAUACCCGUAUCCUUGUCUUUUCUUAUUGUUUUCUUUGAGAUUUGAUUCUGUUUCGUUGGGAAUUCGUAUCAGACAUCUUGGAUUAAAUUUCUCCUUCGGCUCUGUUUAUGCAGGUUAUUUGUUCAAAUUCAUCCCUAUGGAUUGUGGCAGCUUCAAGAAUUAAUUGUAAGUGGUAAGAAUUGCUACUUGAAGAUCCACAGGUAUGAUUAAAUUUUUAAAUCAUGUUUUCAUAUAUAUAACAUAAUUGUUAAACACAGCUUGGUUAUGAGUGAGCUUUUCUUUAAUUGUAAGUGACAAAUUGAGUGGUGUUUGUAACCUUUUGAUAUGAGUUCUGUCUAACUGCAGUUACUUGAGACAGUUUGGUGUCUCACAAACAUUGCUGCUGCAAAAACCUGAAGAAACAAAAGCUAUAUUACUGGAACGGCCAUUGCUUAUUGCUCACCUUGGAGGUUUGUACUGGCUAAUCAAGUUUGACUUGAAAUAUCAUGGAAGCUCCAGGAUUCGGUGGUAAGCAGGUCAAUGCAGAUCCUCAGGUAUGGUUAAAUUUUCAAUAUUUAAGCACCAUAUAUUUACGUUUUUUAUAUACGUCAUAAUUUCUUCAGUAUAAAUAGCUUGGCUAUGAGUGAACUUCUUGUGUUUGGUUAUCUACGCCAUCAUUUCUUCAGUAUAACUUGGUUAUGAGUGAACUUCUUCUGUUUGGUUAUCUUAAUUUAGUUAGUAGGAAUAAGAACUCAUAGCAACAAGGGAUUAGGUGAAGGAACAUCCCAAAGUCUUAUUGCCGUAUAAGCUCUCCCAUUACAAAUGUAGCUCUGGUUAUAGUUGCUUUAAGUUGUGUGUUAGAUAUACCCAGAUGAAUAAGGAUUGCUCUUUGUUCAUGACACAUUUGUCUCUCAGUCUCAGUCAUGGAUGCAUGACAUAUUCUAUUUUUAUAUCAUCUUUCAUGUGUUUUUUAUUGAUUAAGAAUUUAAGAUAGAUGGAAGAGUGGAAGCUGAACCGUGAUAAAAUUUCGUUUCAUCGUUUUUUUCUGGUUUGGAUGAUUACGAAUUUUCGUAAAUCACAUUAUCUUUGUACAUCGGUCAUAUCGUGAACUCAAAUCCAUGGGAUAGGAAACGAAGGAUUGUUAUUAAAAAAAAUGAUUUUGCUUUAAUCAAGUAGGUAAAGUACUACUCCCACUUGUUGUGUGGUGGGGUUGUCGACCUUGUGGUGGUGCGCUCACGUGAGUUAUCCCACUUGCCGAAACUUGUGUAAUAAAAUUCGGUCGCUUCCAAAAAAAAAUAAAGUAAUACACUAUUUUCUUCUGGUGCA